Molecule: small nuclear RNA, 60 nt
Filed under: Carlito syrichta (Philippine tarsier)
Lineage: Eukaryota; Metazoa; Chordata; Mammalia; Primates; Tarsiidae
Description: U7 small nuclear RNA (ENSTSYG00000025340.2)
Rfam family: U7 small nuclear RNA
About the family: Animal histone pre-mRNAs are spliced by a different mechanism than nuclear pre-mRNAs and self-splicing introns. This processing involves the U7 snRNP, which contains only one RNA species: U7.
Source: Rfam by way of RNAcentral
AAGUGUUACAGCUCUUUUAGUUUGUCUAGCAGGUUUUACAGUUUUCAUCAAAAAACCUCA